CCUGUAUCUGUUUGGCAUGUUCUGAAUGGAGUGCGAGGCCCAGGGGUGCUGAGCUCCAAGCAGACACAGCUUAAUUAAUUCAAUAGUCCUGUGCUCUCUGCUUUUUACAAACAAAUAAACAGUUGAUAGGUGUGGAUCCUUUCAUUCACCACCAGAACAAUCCUCUGCCCAGGACAGGGGGAAAAUGCCCUCAUCAGUCAUAGCAAACCAGCACAGUGGUAUUGGGUGGGAAGUGAAAAACACCAUGUCCACUCAAACCUGGAUUUCGUAACACUGGAGGACUGGAAGAGGCAGGGUGCAGGAAUUGCUCCAGGUGAGACCUGGGCUGGCUGCACAGGCAGCGCUUUCUGAAGCUGUAAGCCACCUUCCCAGAACUCCUGGGUCUGGGCACUCAGCUCCAGACCUCUGGCAGAGGUGAGACUGGAACAGAGGCAGUAGCCAAGCCGUGCUUGGCAGGAGCUUGGGGUCCCCUACAGCGCGAGCUCGGGGCUCCAGGCUUGCUUUCCUUCUGCUAGGCCUUUUGUUAAUCUGCUCGCUUUUAUUUCGCAGAGUUGCUGCAGACCCACAGGUGUUCCUGCUGAGAUACAGACGUGGUGGGCAGGGUUUGAGUGCUAGGGUGUGAGGAGGUGAGGGAUCCUCCAGGGAUCCCGUGUUUGUCAGUGAGUCUGUCCCAAGAGCUGCAUCCUGCUGCCCGUGCCCCCAGAUCUUGGUUCCUGGCCCCACAAACCACACAGCUUGCCCAAGUGCCUCCCUUUGUUUCAAACCUUUGGAGCCUGGAGCACUCAUUGAACCUGACCGCGAGUGCAUCUAAGUGGCUGACAAUUAGGAAAUAAAUAUAAUUUGAGGCGGUUUUGGGCAGAAUCCAGUCAAACAUAGAUGGGCUUGUUGCUGUUGUUACCGUAUUGAAUAUUCCUCGUAGUUGUGAUAGUUGUGCUGCGCAGCAGCAUCCCCGACACAGCAAACGGCAUUAUUUCACUGUGCAAAGGCUUCAUUAGUCAAACCAGACAAUGGGCCAGACACAUCCCUUUGAGCCCAGUGCUGGGAUCAUCCAGGCUUUUCACCUUGUCCAAAUGCCUCAUCCUUGUCAAUGCAGGCAGCAGCUCUUCAGAGCCGAUCACUCUGAACUGUGGGACUGACAGGAAAACGUCUAAUUCAGUUAAAAGAAUUCCACAGUUAUUUUAUAUUCACCCUUUAAUUUUUCAUGACUUGUAGAAGCUAAGCUUUUUCAGUCUUUCCAUCUCAUACAUGAGAUCAAUCUGUUCAUUUGUUAAAACACCCAUGAAAGAGCCUGAUAGGUCUGUGUCCUUUAAAGCAGCAGCAAGCACUGAGAUCAAGCAGGAUGGACUGGCCUGGCCAAGCCAUGACCCUGCUGGUGAGAGCUGCAGAGCGGACAGCAGAGAAAAUAGCAUGGCCGUAAAGGUGCCAUUCUCCUGAAAGAGGAUCCUGGCAAAAACAUGGCUUGGCGCAGGGGUGGCAUGCUGGGAACGUGUGGGCGCAGUGUCCCCUUUUCCUUGCUGCAGCACCAUGUACUCCAGAUGCAGAGCUGGUAGCACAACGGGGAGUCUUGAGAGCCCCCGGAGGGAUGGUCUCCAUCUCACAUCUGUGAGGAGGGCAGCUCCUGGUGCCUGUGGUAGAUUCUGCCUUGUGCUGGAUUCUGUCUCCUCAGGUCAGGUUGCAGCUGAGUGGGACCCUGGUUCCCUGGCCAUGGGACCUCAAUGGGCACUUGUGGCACUGAGCUUGGCCGUGUGUUGUGAGCCAUUUCUCCCACUUGCAGUCUGGUCACUGCAGACAUGAAGGACAUACUCCAGAAUGAGCCAAAAUACCCUCUCCUGAACAGAAAUACACCAGAGCUGGUUCAGCUUGAGAAACAGAUGUUGAAGGAGCCAUGGCACAGGGUGCUUCCGAGUGUGAGGUGUAGAUGCUUUCAGGGACAAGGAAACUCAACACUGUCAAUCUCCUCUUUCAUCUUCAGACAGCAGCAGACACUUGAAGGGAGAUGACUCCUCAUGUUUACGGCCUGGUCACAGGAGAGACUGAGGUCCAAAAUCUCCCUGACAUCCUCUCUAUAUGCCUGACCUUGGAACAGCCUCAUUCAUGUCACACCUGCUCCCUUCCACUUGCAGAGCCUCCUGUGCUGCACAGGACACUGGAAAAGCACUUGGAAAUGGCUGGAGAAGGAAGAGGGCUUCCUGGAAAACGGUCUCUAAACCAGGCCCUUCCCUGUGCCGUGGCUUUUCUGGGGCUCAUUAAUAUCAGUGGUAUGUGCUUAUAUCUCAAUUCUCCAGGAUUAAUUAAAAAUCUACAGACAGUGCCAUGCCUAGGGACUUUUCAAUUAUGUCACCAGGCUUUGUCUAUGGCCCAUGCAUUUGUAAUAAACAUGACAUGUUUUUAACUCCUGCAGUCUCCAGGUUUUUGUGUAUUCAGCCAUUGGGUUCUGCAUUCCAGGUUCCUGCUGGAGGAACUCUGUCACUUGCCCCGAGGCAGCAAAUCUGAGACCAGGCAUGGUGUGCGCUGCUUAUGCAUCAGACAUGAGUAAUAACAGGUUUCGAGGAACAGUACCACUUAAUAAAAGCAUUUUAUUACAUUUAAAUGUA
Long non-coding RNA from Hirundo rustica (Barn swallow), 2594 nucleotides. RefSeq lists it as uncharacterized. The transcript is spliced from 2 exons. The record is from RefSeq and is a predicted model, not a curated record. NCBI's taxonomy places the organism in Eukaryota, Metazoa, Chordata, Aves, Passeriformes, Hirundinidae.